CCUACGGGAGGCAGCAGUGGGGAAUAUUGCACAAUGGGGGAAACCCUGAUGCAGCGACGCCGCGUGAGUGAAGAAGUAUUUCGGUAUGUAAAGCUCUAUCAGCAGGAACGAGACAAGACGGUACCUGACUAAGAAGCCCCGGCUAACUACGUGCCAGCAGCCGCGGUAAUACGGAGGGGGCAAGCGUUAUCCGGAAUCACUGGGUGUAAAGGGAGCGUAGACGGCUGAGCAAGCCUGAAGUGAAAGGCGGGGGCCCAACCCCCGGACUGCUUUGGGAACUGUACGGCUGGAGUGCAGGAGAGGUAAGUGGAAUUCCUAGUGUAGCGGUGAAAUGCGUAGAUAUCAGGAGGAACACCGGUGGCGAAGGCGGCCUGCUGGACUGCGACUGACGUUGAGGCCCGAAAGCGUGGGGAGCAAACAGGAUUAGAUACCCGAGUAGUC
Molecule: ribosomal RNA, 441 nt
Filed under: uncultured bacterium
Lineage: Bacteria
Description: partial 16S ribosomal RNA
Rfam family: Bacterial small subunit ribosomal RNA
Source: RNAcentral